GUGCCUACAUAUCAGAAUAAUAUUGAGUACAGUACAAAGAGAUGGGCAUUCUUGAUUUCAACAUUCCUUGAUUGUGAAAUAGUCAAAUUGUGGAACAAGGUAAGUACCGUUGGUUUGUUGCCUGGCAUCUUUGAACUGAGUUCGCCAUUUAACUGCCAGGCAUAAUUUUGAAUGAAUAAAGGCAGUUAGUUUUUUCAGAAUGAGAUCAGGUAAAGCAUAUGCCUCUGUAUAGCCUAAAAAAAGUGUUUGCUGUUAAUUACCGGAUCAUAAGAGCUUUCAGUUGACUCUGGUUUGUGCUCAGGCCUAUCAGUAGGCAAGUCAUUCCACCAGACUGAACCUUGCCCAUCUAUGAUUCCUUUACCUGUGACUGUAAUUCCUUGGAGUUUUGCGAAUUCUAUCCAUUGCAGGAGACUUGAUCCCCAGGCUCCAGAGCUUGUAGGAGCUAUGAUCUUGCCAUCUAACUGCAAGGAUAUCUAAUCAAGGCCUGAGAAGGAAGCAGGUCCCACUAGGAAGACAGACCCCGAUGGAACUACCAUUGUUGAUGCCUCGACCUUACAAGCUGCUGCCCAGCAUGCUUCAAACGCCUGCAACAAAAUUUAAUGCUACGAAAAGAUGAGAUUCUCAUCUUGUGACUCGAGCCCCCAUGUCUCCGCCAUCCUUUUUGGUCCCAUCCAUGUUUCAUAUUAGAUUCUUACCUCCACCUCAACCAGAAGAUAUGCAGUAGCAAAAUGAAGCAAUUCAUGACAUUCGGUCAUGAUUUCUGGUGCAUGUAUUAUGAUACAUGUCGAUGAACAUGCAUUUACAUACAAAUACAUGAUACAUAUAUCUAUAUACGCAUACACAUAUACAUGCAUAGUUAAGCAUACGUGAAACAUGGGAUCAAAAUGAAGAGUGAUCACCUUGGUGU
Non-coding RNA from Carica papaya (papaya), 907 nucleotides. The record is from RefSeq and is a predicted model, not a curated record. NCBI's taxonomy places the organism in Eukaryota, Viridiplantae, Streptophyta, Magnoliopsida, Brassicales, Caricaceae.